CGUUGAGAAGCUAUGGACCAGCGUUAGCCUUUUAAGCUAAAGAAAGAGGACCCACCCCCCUCCUCAACGA
Molecule: transfer RNA, 70 nt
Filed under: Leptocoma aspasia
Lineage: Eukaryota; Metazoa; Chordata; Aves; Passeriformes; Nectariniidae
Description: tRNA-Lys
Source: RNAcentral